GAAAGUAAUGAAGGGCGUACGGUGGAUGCCUAGGCUCUUACAGGCGAUGAAGGACGUGAUAAGCUGCGAAAAGCCGCGGUGAGGCGCAAAUGGCCCUUGACCCGCGGAUCUCCGAAUGGGACAACCCAAUAUCUUGAAGAGAUAUUAUCCCGCCGGUGCGGGAGGCGAACGCGGGGAACUGAAACAUCUUAGUACCCGCAGGAAAAGAAAAUAAAGAAUGAUUCCCCCAGUAGUGGCGAGCGACCGGGGAAGAGCCCAAACCGACGUUGUCUCGGCAUCGUCGGGGUUGUAGGACCGCGCCAUCGCAAGAAAGGCCGUGAGUGGAAGCGACUGGAAAGCCGCGCCAUAGAGGGUGACAGCCCCUUACACGAAGCAGCCUGAAGCGUAGCGGACUCCUGAGUAGCGCGGGACACGAGUAAUCCUGUGUGAAUCCGCCGGGCCCAUCCGGCAAGGCUAAAUACUCGUAAGAGACCGAUAGUGAACCAGUACCGUGAGGGAAAGGUGAAAAGGACCCCUUGCAGGGGAGUGAAAGAGUUCCUGAAACCGUACGCCUACAAGCGGUCGGAGCAUCUUGAAUGAUGUGACGGCGUGCCUUUUGCAUAAUGAACCUACGAGUUGCCGUCACCAGCGAGGUUAAGUGCGACGACGCACCGAGCCGCAGCGGAAGCGAGUCUUAAAAGGGCGCGAUAGUUGGUGGAGGCAGACGCGAAACCGAGUGAUCUACACUUGUCCAGGAUGAAGUCCCGGUAACACGGGAUGGAGGUCCGCACCAAUAAGCGUUGAAAAGCUUCUGGAUGAGGUGAGUGUAGGAGUGAAAGGCCAAUCAAACUCGGAGAUAGCUCGUACUCCCCGAAAGGCAUUUAGGUGCCGCCUGUGGCGUUCCCGACGUGAGGUAGAGCGACUGAUAGGAUGCGAGGGCUUCACCGCCUAUCAAGUCCUGACAAACUCCGAAUGCACGUCGGCCAAGCCAUGGAGUAAGGGCAUGGGUGCUAAGGUCCGUGCCCGAGAGGAGAAGAAUCCAGACCACCGGCUAAGGUCCCGAAAUACUGGUUAAGUUAGACUAACGCAGUCCGGCCCCCAAGACAGCUAGGAUGUUGGCUUGGAAGCAGCCAUUCAUUCAAAGAGUGCGUAACAGCUCACUAGUCGAGGAGCUGGGCGUGGAUAAUAAUCGGGUAUAAAACCAGUUACCGAAGCCGUGGGAUGCUCAAGCAUCGGUAGGGGAGCAUUGCAUGCGGCUUGGAAGGCGGGGCGCGAGCCCCUCUGGAGCGCAUGGAAACGCAAAUGUAGGUAUAAGUAACGACAAGGGGGGUGGGAUGCCCCCCCGCCGAAAGACCAAGGUUUCCUGAACAACGCUAAUCGGUUCAGGGUCAGUCGGGUCCUAAGCAUAAGCCGUAUGGCGAGGGCGAUGGAUGAAACGGUUAAUAUUCCGUUACUGUCUUGGUGUGUGACGCGGCGACGGAGUAGUGACACGGCCGCCUCCUGACGGAAAAGGGGGUUGAAGCGCAAAGGUGUCGAGGAAGGCAGGCAAAUCCACCUUCCGAGCCGAAGCGCGAUAGUACGCUGCGCCCUUUGGGGCAAGGCGAUAGUGCCGGUAAUCAGACUUCCAAGAAAACCCGCUAAACUUCAGCACCAAGUCACCCGUACUCCAAACGGACACACGUGGUCGGGUAGAAUAUACUAAGGCGCUUGGGAGAUUCACGGUUAAGGAACUAGGCAAAUUGACCCCGUACCUUCGGAAUAAGGGGUCCUCGCUUUUGCGAGGCGCAGAGAAUAGGUCCAGGCAACUGUUUAACAAAAACACAGGGCUGUGCCAAUUUGAAAGAAGAAGUAUACAGCCUGACACCUGCCCGGUGCCGGAAGGUUAAGAGGAGAGCUCAUCAGCGAUGAGAAGGCUUGAAUUGAAGCCCCGGUAAACGGCGGCCGUAACUAUAACGGUCCUAAGGUAGCGAAAUUCCUUGUCGG
RNAcentral lists this ribosomal RNA (1962 nucleotides) under human gut metagenome. RNAcentral's name for it is "bacterial LSU rRNA". It matches the Rfam family "Bacterial large subunit ribosomal RNA", at positions 1 to 1975 of the family's 2925-position model. The record is from RNAcentral.